Molecule: ribosomal RNA, 292 nt
Filed under: uncultured bacterium
Lineage: Bacteria
Description: partial 16S ribosomal RNA
Rfam family: Bacterial small subunit ribosomal RNA
Source: RNAcentral
GUGUCAGCAGCCGCGGUAAUACGUAGGUGGCAAGCGUUGUCCGGAAUUAUUGGGCGUAAAGCGCGCGCAGGCGGUCCUUUAAGUCUGAUGUGAAAUCACGUGGCUCAACCACGUGCGGUCAUUGGAAACUGGAGGACUUGAGUGCAGAAGAGGAAAGUGGAAUUCCAAGUGUAGCGGUGAAAUGCGUAGAGAUUUGGAGGAACACCAGUGGCGAAGGCGACUUUCUGGUCUGUAACUGACGCUGAGGCGCGAAAGCGUGGGGAGCAAACAGGAUUAGAAACCCCAGUAGUCC